CUAUAAUUGAGUAGUACAUGGUUGAGAGUAUCCAUAGAGACUGUCAAUUUUAUCUUUCCUAGACUAAUUUUUCUUGAGUAAUCUGUUCAACCUCAGCUCCACCUGCAACCUUUCAACUGCUGUUUUUGUUUUCUUGUUUGUGUGGCUUCAGCAUUAAAAUUUUAGAUGUCUCUAAUGUAACUCUUAACUUCUUUUUGAACAUUAGGAAUACAAGGCGCAAUGGCUUUGGCCGGGCGGUUUAUAUGCUCCAUCUCCAGGAUUGAUUGCAGUCAAUCUAAAAUUAAAUGCCAUGGUUGAUGGAUUGGGAUAUGCAGCUCAUCCAAUUAUGGCUCUUCUCUUCAUACUAGAUCCUGGUACAAAAGGUGGCAGAUGAAGAAGAUAUAUUCUCCACUUCUGGCGCUGUAUCUCGGAUUCGAAUGGAUCCAAACAGACAAAAUUCUGGCACCCAUCAUAAUACACAGGAUAUACUCGUCUGUGGUUCUGGGUCAUGGCCUCUGGAAAAUACACGACUGUCAAUGGAUGCUAUGCCAGAGAUUCACAAGCUCAAAAGCUCAAGGCAAAUCUUCGAGGAAGCUGUAAAGAUCCAACCCAACUUGUAGUACAUAAUAGUGUUCCACAACAUAUCUGUUUGAUCACUUCUAUGCAUAUAGUGAUGCAUACUAAUCUUCUUGUACAUAAGAAAUUAGGAAAAUUAGCCUUCUGUUAUGGAAUAAAAAUACUUUUUCUUGGAGUUUUUAACAUGUAUAGAUAGGCGAAUAAUGAACUUAUGCAAUAUGUUGU
Long non-coding RNA from Salvia splendens (bonfire salvia), 780 nucleotides. RefSeq lists it as uncharacterized. The transcript is spliced from 3 exons. Lineage: Eukaryota; Viridiplantae; Streptophyta; Magnoliopsida; Lamiales; Lamiaceae. The record is from RefSeq and is a predicted model, not a curated record.